Molecule: long non-coding RNA, 422 nt
Organism: Thalassophryne amazonica
Lineage: Eukaryota; Metazoa; Chordata; Actinopteri; Batrachoidiformes; Batrachoididae
Exons: 2
Source: RefSeq, a predicted model, not a curated record
UGGGACUUCAUCACAGAGCAGACCGGCAUGUUCAGCUUCACAAGCCUCACCCCUAAUCAAGUGGAAUAUUUGGUGAAGCAGAAACACAUCUACCUAAUGGUCAACGGUCGCAUCAGCAUGUAUGGUCUGACCACCAAGAACAUUGACUACGUGGCUGAGUCCAUCCAUGAAGCUGUCACAAUGGUUCAAUAACAGGCUGCCCAACUGAUCCAGCACAUUACUUGGUUCAUAUAUUCACACAUACAUACAGACACACCCAGGAGUCAGAUUUCUGUUUGUUUUCAGGCAGGACAUUGUCAGAAUUCUUGCUUUGGUUUUACCCUGAUUAUCAUCUGGGUCAAGGGUUGUUUGUGUACCUUAAACCCUCCUUUGUAUCAUUACAAAAACCUUUGUUUGUGAAUAAAAACCUCAUGAAUGCUGAA